This 491-nucleotide long non-coding RNA is filed under the name Aotus nancymaae (Ma's night monkey). Its description in RNAcentral is "lncRNA (ENSANAG00000038590.1)". The record is from RNAcentral. Lineage: Eukaryota; Metazoa; Chordata; Mammalia; Primates; Aotidae.
AUGAUGAAUUUGAGAUACAUUUUGCAGGAAGAAUUCAUGAGACUAAGAAAGGAAGAGGAACAUGAACAUGGUGUCAGUGUUUCCAAUGUGGCUGACUGGGUUCAUAGCAAUGUUUUUGCUCAAGCUAAGGAACAUGAAGAAGAGUCCAGUUGGUGGGUGUUGAGUUGCAUGUGUCCAGGGAACACUCAGAAAGUCCCCUCUGCUGGGAGAAGGUCACGGUCCAAGAUGACAGGUAAACCCAAGGUCAGAAGCCCGGGGCUCUCGAGGAUGCCAACUGGCUGCACCGUAUCGGCCAUAGCCCACUUUGUAGCCUGAAAGCCAGAGAAAGGAAGACUUUAGAAAGAAGAUAGGAGAAGUUGCAAAAAAGGAGAAGUAAAGAUGUACAAAAGGUACUUCCUGGAUUCUGUCAGCUGUCAGUUGGUGGUUUCACUUCCUUCCAGAACUCCAGUUUAAUUCCUGACUUUUAAUUCUGUGAAGACCCUCAAUCACUA